GUCUCUGUGGCGCAAUUGGUUAGCGCGUUUGGCUGUUAAACCAGAAGGUUGGUGGUUCAAGCCCACCCAGGGACG
This 75-nucleotide transfer RNA is filed under the name Petromyzon marinus (sea lamprey). Its description in RNAcentral is "tRNA-Asn (GTT) (tRNA-Asn-GTT-24-1)". It matches the Rfam family "tRNA". From Rfam's summary of the family: Transfer RNA (tRNA) molecules are approximately 80 nucleotides in length. Their secondary structure includes four short double-helical elements and three loops (D, anti-codon, and T loops). Further hydrogen bonds mediate the characteristic L-shaped molecular structure. tRNAs have two regions of fundamental functional importance: the anti-codon, which is responsible for specific mRNA codon recognition, and the 3' end, to which the tRNAs corresponding amino acid is attached (by aminoacyl-tRNA synthetases). tRNAs cope with the degeneracy of the genetic code in two manners: having more than one tRNA (with a specific anti-codon) for a particular amino acid; and 'wobble' base-pairing, i.e. permitting non-standard base-pairing at the 3rd anti-codon position. The record is from RNAcentral. Lineage: Eukaryota; Metazoa; Chordata; Hyperoartia; Petromyzontiformes; Petromyzontidae.